UACGUAGGGAGCGAGCGUUGUCCGGAUUUAUUGGGCGUAAAGCGCGCGUAGGCGGUUUGGUAAGCCGGGUGUGAAACCCUCGAGCUCAACUCGGGGCGGCCACUCGGAACUGUCAUGACUCGAGUCAGGUAGGGGAACACGGAAUUCCAGGUGUAGCGGUGAAAUGCUUAGAUAUCUGGAGGAACACCAGUGGCGAAGGCGGUGUUCUGGGCCUGUACUGACGCUGAUGCGCGAAAGCGUGGGGAGCGAACAGG
This 254-nucleotide ribosomal RNA is filed under the name uncultured bacterium. RNAcentral describes it as "partial 16S ribosomal RNA". It matches the Rfam family "Bacterial small subunit ribosomal RNA", at positions 524 to 776 of the family's 1533-position model. The record is from RNAcentral.